UACGAAGGGGGCGAGCGUUGUUCGGAAUUACUGGGCGUAAAGGGCGCGUAGGCGGUCUGCUAAGUUGGAUGUGAAAACUCUGGGCUUAACCCAGAGCCUGCAUUCAAUACUGACAGGCUAGAGUUCUGGAGGGGAUAGCGGAAUUCCUGGUGUAGCGGUGAAAUGCGUAGAUAUCAGGAGGAACACCGGUGGCGAAGGCGGCUAUCUGGACAGAGUCUGACGCUGAGGCGCGAAAGCUAGGGGAGCAAACAGG
RNAcentral lists this ribosomal RNA (253 nucleotides) under uncultured bacterium. Its description in RNAcentral is "partial 16S ribosomal RNA". It matches the Rfam family "Bacterial small subunit ribosomal RNA", at positions 524 to 776 of the family's 1533-position model. The record is from RNAcentral.